GCAGCUUGUGUUAGCACUAAUCUUGACGGAUGCGCGUGUGACCGGGUCGUGCGCAGCUGCCGGACCAAGUCCUGUGGCCGUUGUGGACAUAUUGCUUGAGUGGCGUACGUGUGCCUGCAUGUAGCUAGAUUAGUCGGGUCAGUGGCCGAACAUGGCGGCAGGUUAGUGCAUGCGUGGACUGGCUGGUGGGCAGAAGUGGAGCGAGCCGUGCGUGCGCUGCGUGCUCUGCCUAUAUAACCAUCACGUGUACUGCUUGUAUGAGUUUGAGCCAGCUGAAUACAGAAAAGAUUAGGGCGUUGGUGCGCCUGUGGCGGCGUUCGUCGCCGGCAAAAUUCUGUGUUGUCUCCCUUCUUCUACCUUUGUUCGUGCGAGUGAAAGAAGAAGAGAGGGGCUGCCCCUCCGGCAGCCCCAACAUUUGGUAUCAUGAGCUUGAUGGUCUUGGGCAUGUUCGUCGUACCGGAGGCGUACCGGCGAUGGCGGUGGUUGCCGGUGGCUGCGCGGAGCUCCGGGCUGUAUGUCGGCCUGUUGAGGUGCGCGGCGUGGCGGCUGUCAUGGCGGACGCGGAGUUGGCGCACAGUGAGGCCGUGGAGCAUGGCCAUGCAUGCCGUGCGUGCUGGGAGCGGGGCGGCCGCGGCGGACCUGCGUGGUGGCGCAGAGGCUGCGGUGGCGCGGCAUGGCUCGAUGGCGUGGAGGAGAAGCCGUUCGUGCGGCGGGUGAGGCAGCUCGAGCGGCCAUGUUGCUUGCGUCAGGACGCGGCAUGUGCGUGAGCCGAGGGUGUGCGGAUCAUCGGAGGAGAACGCGUCCAGCGGAGCGCAGGACGGCCGCGUCGAUCACGUCAGUGCGUGAUCGUGUGUGCGAGCCGGGGCGUGCAGGGCGUGGCGUCAUCGAGGUGCUCGGCGUUUGUCGCGUUGAAGAGGACAACCGGCGUAGGUUGCCGGAGCUGGAGAACGUCAGGCGUGCGCCGCCGGACAAGGAGCUCGGCGUGUGUCGCCGGAGACGAAAGGAGACGUUCAAGGCGAGGGUCGAUGGCGUGUCGUGUGAAAAUUAGGGGGGGAAAUAUUAGCACUAAUCUUGACGGAUGCGUGUGCGACCAGGUCGUGCGCAGCUGCCGGACCAAGUCCUGUGGCCGUUGUUGACAUAUUGCUUCAGUGGCGUACGUGCGCCUGCAUGUAGCUAGAUUAGUCGGGUCAGUGGCCGAGCAUGCCGGCAGGUUAGUGCGUGCGUGGGCUGGCUGGUGGGCAGAAGUGGAGCGAGGCGUGCGUGCGCUGCGUGCUCUGCCUAUAUAACCAUCACGUGUACUGCUUGUAUGAGUUUGAGCCAGCUGAAUAUAGAAAAGAUUAGGGCGUUGGUGCGCUUGUGACGAC
Molecule: long non-coding RNA, 1364 nt
Filed under: Hordeum vulgare
Lineage: Eukaryota; Viridiplantae; Streptophyta; Magnoliopsida; Poales; Poaceae
Description: long non-coding RNA (HVUL_LNC017439)
Source: RNAcentral